RNAcentral lists this unclassified non-coding RNA (320 nucleotides) under plant metagenome. RNAcentral describes it as "partial contains 5.8S ribosomal RNA, internal transcribed spacer 2, and large subunit ribosomal RNA". The stretch from base 1 to 105 matches the Rfam family "5.8S ribosomal RNA", at positions 50 to 154 of the family's 154-position model. The record is from RNAcentral.
GAAAUGCGAUAAGUAAUGUGAAUUGCAGAAUUCAGUGAAUCAUCGAAUCUUUGAACGAACAUUGCGCCCGCCAGUAUUCUGGCGGGCAUGCCUGUUCGAGCGUCAUUACAACCCUCAGGCCCCCGGGCCUGGCGUUGGGGAUCGGCGGAAGCCCCCUGCGGGCACAACGCCGUCCCCCAAAUACAGUGGCGGUCCCGCCGCAGCUUCCAUUGCGUAGUAGCUAACACCUCGCAACUGGAGAGCGGUGCGGCCACGCCGUAAAACACCCAACUUCUGAAUGUUGACCUCGAAUCAGGUAGGAAUACCCGCUGAACUUAAGC